This 279-nucleotide long non-coding RNA is filed under the name Elaeis guineensis (African oil palm). Its description in RNAcentral is "long non-coding RNA (EGUI_LNC035295)". The record is from RNAcentral. Lineage: Eukaryota; Viridiplantae; Streptophyta; Magnoliopsida; Arecales; Arecaceae.
GCUCCAAUCGGGAAAAAAGGGAGAAAGAGAGGGGAAGAGGGCCGAUGAUCGGCUCCUAAGGAAGGGAAAGGUCCUUUUAUAGAGAACCUAGGACUCUGAGAGGUCCUAGGAUUCUGAUCUCCAAGAUUUGAUCGGAGAAGAAGACUGCUACCGGGAGUCUUCUUCCCGAUCUCCUGUUUCUCACUUUUUUUUUUUUGAAUGGGCUUGGGUCUUUUAAAUCGGGCUUGGGCUUGGGCUAUAACACAAGACAUACAUCUUUCUAAAAGGAUCUCUCCUAAA